Molecule: ribosomal RNA, 710 nt
Filed under: uncultured bacterium
Lineage: Bacteria
Description: bacterial SSU rRNA
Rfam family: Bacterial small subunit ribosomal RNA
Source: RNAcentral
AGCGGCGGACGGGUGAGUAACGCGUGGGUAACCUGCCUCAUACACAUGGAUAACAUACCGAAAGGUAUGCUAAUACAAGAUGAUAUAAGAGAUUCGCAUGGAUUUCUUAUCAAAGCUCCGGCGGUAUGAGAUGGACCCGCGUCUGAUUAGCUAGUUGGUAAGGUAACGGCUUACCAAGGCGACGAUCAGUAGCCGACCUGAGAGGGUGAUCGGCCACAUUGGAACUGAGACACGGUCCAAACUCCUACGGGAGGCAGCAGUGGGGAAUAUUGCACAAUGGGCGAAAGCCUGAUGCAGCAACGCCGCGUGAGCGAUGAAGGCCUUCGGGUCGUAAAGCUCUGUCCUCAAGGAAGAUAAUGACGGUACUUGAGGAGGAAGCCCCGGCUAACUACGUGCCAGCAGCCGCGGUAAUACGUAGGGGGCUAGCGUUAUCCGGAUUUACUGGGCGUUAAGGGUGCGUAGGUGGUUUCUUAAGUCAGGAGUGAAAGGCUACGGCUCAACCGUAGUAAGCUCUUGAAACUGGGAAACUUGAGUGCAGGAGAGGAAAGUGGAAUUCCUAGUGUAGCGGUGAAAUGCGUAGAUAUUAGGAGGAACACCAGUAGCGAAGGCGGCUUUCUGGACUGUAACUGACACUGAGGCACGAAAGCGUGGGGAGCAAACAGGAUUAGAUACCCUGGUAGUCCACGCCGUAAACGAUGAGUACUAGGUGU